AAGAGCUGCAGAGGAAACAGAACCGUCAGCAGAACCUACAGAACCAACAGAACCAACAGAACCGUUCUCUACUCGUUCAGCAUCCUGAAAUCCUGGUUUUUCAUUUUCUGCUAAAAACAAAACCAGGAAGUAGCAGUUGCUAAGCAACAUGAACCACAUGUCUGGCGCCUCUGGUAAGGCACAAAGGAUGAGCAGAUCUAGCUAAUAACUGAAAUAUCAUGUCUGCUCCUGGAUGUAGAGCUGUUAGCAUGUCAGUCUGCAGUCAGAGGCCUCUUCACAUUUACUGUGACACUGACUGCUACUGGAUUCCAAAAGGAUUCAGAAUUGGAUCAAACGUUUUCAGAUGACAUCAGAGUUUCGUCCAUCCCAUAAUGAGGUGCAACGUCGGCUGAGGUUUCCCUCGAGGCGACGGACUCGGCUCCACUUCCACUGCAGGAUUUUCAUCCUGCCGCCGAUCCGACGUUUUGUUUCCUGAAAUGUCGGAUUCUCCUGAAGUGGCGAUGAAACGCGGUGACACUGGCACUUCCUGUCUGGACCACAGCACCUUUCCCAUCCAGAACCAGGAGGAGGAAUCCAGGAAAACCCA
Poecilia latipinna (sailfin molly) is the source of this 586-nucleotide long non-coding RNA. RefSeq lists it as uncharacterized. Lineage: Eukaryota; Metazoa; Chordata; Actinopteri; Cyprinodontiformes; Poeciliidae. The record is from RefSeq and is a predicted model, not a curated record. The transcript is spliced from 2 exons.